This 886-nucleotide long non-coding RNA is filed under the name Homo sapiens (human). Its description in RNAcentral is "novel transcript, antisense to GMPR". The record is from RNAcentral. Lineage: Eukaryota; Metazoa; Chordata; Mammalia; Primates; Hominidae.
CCCAGGUGAAAUAAACAGCCAUGUUGCUCACACAAAGCCUGUUUGGUGGUCUCUUCACACGGACGCACAUGAAAUUUGGUGCCGUGACUCAGAUCGGGGGACCUCCCUUGGGAGAUCAAUCCCCUGUCCUCCUGCUCUUUGCGAAAGAUCCACCUACGACCUCAGGUCCUCGGACCGACCAGCCCAAGAAACAUCUCACCAAUUUCAAAUCCGUGCUGCUUGACCCCAAUACAAACUCGACAGUAGUUCCAAAUAGCCGGAAAAUGGCACUUUCAAUUUUUCCAUCCUACAAGAUCUAAAUAAUUCUUGUCGUACAAUGGGCAAAUGGUCUGAGGUGCCUGACAUCCAGGCAUUCUUUUACACAUCGGUCCCUCUCUAGUCUCUGUUCCCAAUGCAACUCGUCCCAAAUCUUCCUCCUUUCCCUCCCGCCUGUCCCCUCAGUCCCAACCCCAAGCGUCGCUGAGUCUUUCUAAUCUUCCUUUUCUACAGACUCAUCUGACCUCUCCCCUCCUCCCCAGGCUGCUCCUCGCCAGGCCGAGCUAGGUCCCAAUUCUUUCUCAGCCUCCGCUCCUCCACCCUAUAAUCCUUUUAUCACCUCCCCUCCUCACACACAGUCUGGCUUACAGUUUCGUUCCGUGACUAGCCCUCCCCACCUGCCCAGCAAUUUACUCUUAAAAAGGUGGCUGGAGCUAAAGGCAUAGUCAAGGUUAAUGCUCCUUUUUCUUUAUCCCAAAUCGGAUAGCGUUUAGGCUCUUUUUCAUCAAAUAUAAAAAUCCAGCCCAGUUCAUGGCUCGUUUGGCAGCAACCCUGAGACGCUUUACAGCCCUAGACCCUAAAAGUUCAAAAGGCCGUCUUAUUCUCAAAAUACACUUUAUUACCCAAUCUG